Molecule: ribosomal RNA, 738 nt
Filed under: uncultured Fusobacterium sp.
Lineage: Bacteria; Fusobacteriati; Fusobacteriota; Fusobacteriia; Fusobacteriales; Fusobacteriaceae
Description: bacterial SSU rRNA
Rfam family: Bacterial small subunit ribosomal RNA
Source: RNAcentral
GAUGAACGCUGACAGAAUGCUUAACACAUGCAAGUCAACUUGAAUUUGGGUUUUUAACUUAAGUUUGGGUGGCGGACGGGUGAGUAACGCGUAAAGAACUUGCCUCACAGCUAGGGACAACAUUUGGAAACGAAUGCUAAUACCUAAUAUUAUGAUAAUAGGGCAUCCUAUAAUUAUGAAAGCUAUAAGCGCUGUGAGAGAGCUUUGCGUCCCAUUAGCUAGUUGGAGAGGUAACGGCUCACCAAGGCGAUGAUGGGUAGCCGGCCUGAGAGGGUGAUCGGCCACAAGGGGACUGAGACACGGCCCUUACUCCUACGGGAGGCAGCAGUGGGGAAUAUUGGACAAUGGACCAAGAGUCUGAUCCAGCAAUUCUGUGUGCACGAUGAAGUUUUUCGGAAUGUAAAGUGCUUUCAGUUGGGAAGAAAGAAAUGACGGUACCAACAGAAGAAGUGACGGCUAAAUACGUGCCAGCAGCCGCGGUAAUACGUAUGUCACGAGCGUUAUCCGGAUUUAUUGGGCGUAAAGCGCGUCUAGGUGGUUAUGUAAGUCUGAUGUGAAAAUGCAGGGCUCAACUCUGUAUUGCGUUGGAAACUGUAUAACUAGAGUACUGGAGAGGUAAGCGGAACUACAAGUGUAGAGGUGAAAUUCGUAGAUAUUUGUAGGAAUGCCGAUGGGGGAAGCCAGCUUACUGGGACAGAUACUGACGCUGAAAGCGCGAAAGCGUGGGUAGCAAACAGG